UUGAUUGUGGCUUAUCCUUCCUAUAGCUCCUUAGGGUUACUUGCAUCUUUCUCUAUUAUCCACUUUUACAUAUCUAACUAAAUCUCAAUUUCUCACUUUUUCUAUUUAAACAACCUAAAAAGGUUUUUGUUAAUUCUCAACUCUUGGCUAUUACUCCUUGACACUCAAAUUUCAUUAAACUUUUAAUUUCAUCCCAUAACUCAC
Molecule: long non-coding RNA, 204 nt
Filed under: Lathyrus oleraceus (garden pea)
Lineage: Eukaryota; Viridiplantae; Streptophyta; Magnoliopsida; Fabales; Fabaceae
Description: Pisum sativum (pea) long non-coding RNA (PSAT_LNC012822)
Source: RNAcentral